GCAGUCGACGGUACAGAAAGCAGCUUGCUGCUUUGCUGACGAGUGGCGGACGGGUGAGUAAUGUCUGGGAAACUGCCCGAUGGAGGGGGAUAACUACUGGAAACGGUAGCUAAUACCGCAUAACGUCGCAAGACCAAAGAGGGGGACCUUAGGGCCUCUUGCCAUCGGAUGUGCCCAGAUGGGAUUAGCUAGUAGGUGGGGUAAAGGCUCACCUAGGCGACGAUCCCUAGCUGGUCUGAGAGGAUGACCAGCCACACUGGAACUGAGACACGGUCCAGACUCCUACGGGAGGCAGCAGUGGGGAAUAUUGCACAAUGGGCGCAAGCCUGAUGCAGCCAUGCCGCGUGUAUGAAGAAGGCCUUCGGGUUGUAAAGUCUUUUUCAGCGGGGAGGAAGGGAGUAAAGUUAAUACCUUUGCUCAUUGACGUUACCCGCAGAAGAAGCACCGGCUAACUCCGUGCCAGCAGCCGCGGUAAUACGGAGGGUGCAAGCGUUAAUCGGAAUUACUGGGCGUAAAGCGCACGCAGGCGGUUUGUUAAGUCAGAUGUGAAAUCCCCGGGCUCAACCUGGGAACUGCAUCUGAUACUGGCAAGCUUGAGUCUCGUAGAGGGGGGUAGAAUUCCAGGUGUAGCGGUGAAAUGCGUAGAGAUCUGGAGGAAUACCGGUGGCGA
RNAcentral lists this ribosomal RNA (670 nucleotides) under uncultured bacterium. Its description in RNAcentral is "bacterial SSU rRNA". It matches the Rfam family "Bacterial small subunit ribosomal RNA", at positions 57 to 718 of the family's 1533-position model. The record is from RNAcentral.